This 460-nucleotide ribosomal RNA is filed under the name uncultured bacterium. RNAcentral describes it as "partial 16S ribosomal RNA". It matches the Rfam family "Bacterial small subunit ribosomal RNA", at positions 338 to 795 of the family's 1533-position model. The record is from RNAcentral.
CCUACGGGUGGCAGCAGUGAGGAAUAUUGGUCAAUGGCCGAGAGUCUGAACCAGCCAAGUAGCGUGAAGGAUGACUGCCCUAUGGGUUGUAAACUUCUUUUAUCUGGGAGUAAAACGGGGUAUGCAUAACCUCUUGUGUGUACCAUAAGAAUAAGCAUCGGCUAACUCCGUGCCAGCAGCCGCGGUAAUACGGAGGAUCCGAGCGUUAUCCGGAUUUAUUGGGUUUAAAGGGUGCGGAGGCGGAUGGUUAAGUCCGGAGGGAAAGUUUGGGGCUCAACCCUAAAAAUGCAGUUGAAACUGGCAGUCUUGAGUAGGGGAGAGGUGUGCGGAAUGCGUGGUGUAGCGGUGAAAUGCAUAGAUAUCACGAAGAACUCCGAUUGCGAAGGCAGCAUACCGGCGCGCAACUGACACUCAGGCACGAAAGCGUGGGUAUCAAACAGGAUUAGAUACCCCAGUAGUC